RNAcentral lists this non-coding RNA (29 nucleotides) under Rattus norvegicus (Norway rat). Lineage: Eukaryota; Metazoa; Chordata; Mammalia; Rodentia; Muridae. The record is from RNAcentral.
UACAUUGUCUUUUCUGUUCUCAUUGAUGC